Pelobates cultripes (western spadefoot toad) is the source of this 209-nucleotide non-coding RNA. The record is from the annotation of a GenBank genome assembly. Lineage: Eukaryota; Metazoa; Chordata; Amphibia; Anura; Pelobatidae.
CAGGAUUUGGCGAUAGAUUGAACAUGAGGCUUGAAGGAGAGGACGGAGUCAAAGAGAACACCUAGGCAGCGAGCCUGCGUGGUGGAGCUGAUGGUAGCACCGUUGACUUGGAGGGAGACAGACACAGGAGUAACAACACUUGAGGGAGGAAAGACCAGAAUUUCAGUUUUGGUCAAAUUUAGUUUAAGGAAGUGGGCAGCCAUCCAGUU